This 585-nucleotide ribosomal RNA is filed under the name Microthecium sepedonioides. Its description in RNAcentral is "eukaryotic LSU rRNA". The stretch from base 188 to 341 matches the Rfam family "5.8S ribosomal RNA". The record is from RNAcentral. Lineage: Eukaryota; Fungi; Ascomycota; Sordariomycetes; Coronophorales; Ceratostomataceae.
GUAACAAGGUCUCCGUUGGUGAACCAGCGGAGGGAUCAUUACAGAGUGACCACUGUGUCGUGGCUCUGCCAACCCCGCGAACCUUAUACAAACACGUUGCCUCGGCGGGCCUCCCGCCGCAGGCCCAUCCACAAACGCUCUGAAAAGCUCCGCGCUCCUUCUGAACUAGAAACUUUAAACGAGUAAAAACUUUUGGCAACGGAUCUCUUGGCUCUGGCAUCGAUGAAGAACGCAGCGAAAUGCGAUACGUAGUGUGAAUUGCAGAAUUCAGUGAACCAUCGAAUCUUUGAACGCACCUUGCGGCCGCCGGUAAUCCGGCGGCCAUGCCCGUCCGAGCGUCGUUUCGACCCUCGGGGCCCCCCCUCUUGCAGGGCGGCGGCCCCGGCCUUGGGCCAGCGCGUGCCGCUCUCGAGCGCCGCGCGGCCCGCAGAACAGCGGCGGCAGCACCGGCGACGUCCCCUGCGCAGUAGCAUACACUCGCAUUGGUCUCCCGGCGCGGCCCGCCUCGAACCCCAAACUUCUUUAGGUCGACCUCGGAUCGGGUAGGGAUACCCGCUAAACUUAAGCAUAUCAUAGGCCGGAGGA